UACUGACAUCAGAGACUCGUUCUGAGAGCCCUGACCUACCGCCAGAUAAGCAUUCAUGCCCAGCUCUUUCAUCUGUUCUUCACCAAUAACUUUGGUAACCAGAUUGUCAGCGCUGUCAGCAAGCUGGCGUGCCUGUGAUGCAAGGUACGCUGCAUUACAGAUAUUCGGCGGCAUAUUAACCAGAUCUCUUGU
RNAcentral lists this antisense RNA (192 nucleotides) under Xenorhabdus innexi. RNAcentral describes it as "Yersinia sRNA 276". It matches the Rfam family "Yersinia sRNA 276". Lineage: Bacteria; Pseudomonadati; Pseudomonadota; Gammaproteobacteria; Enterobacterales; Morganellaceae. The record is from Rfam by way of RNAcentral.